UACGUAGGGACCAAGCGUUGUCCGGAAUCAUUGGGCGUAAAGAGCGUGUAGGCGGCUUGUUAAGUCUUGCGUGAAAUCUCGGGGCUCAACCCCGAGCGGUCGUGAGAAACUGGCAGGCUAGAGUGCGGGAGAGGAGAGUGGAAUUCCUGGUGUAGCGGUGAAAUGCGCAGAUAUCAGGAAGAACACCCGUGGCGAAGGCGGCUCUCUGGAACGCAACUGACGCUGAGGAGCGAAAGCAUGGGGAGCGAACAGG
This 253-nucleotide ribosomal RNA is filed under the name uncultured bacterium. RNAcentral describes it as "partial 16S ribosomal RNA". It matches the Rfam family "Bacterial small subunit ribosomal RNA", at positions 524 to 776 of the family's 1533-position model. The record is from RNAcentral.